Xenopus laevis (African clawed frog) is the source of this 244-nucleotide long non-coding RNA. RefSeq lists it as uncharacterized. Lineage: Eukaryota; Metazoa; Chordata; Amphibia; Anura; Pipidae. The transcript has 3 exons. The record is from RefSeq and is a predicted model, not a curated record.
CAUUUAGAGCCAUUUAGUAUUCUGUCCCUAAUGCUCUUUCUUUUCACUUAUAGACGCUGUACUCCGUCCUGAAGGACUUCAGGGGGGAACAUACGGACUUUGAGGCCCUCGCCUCUUAUUACGAACAUCACUACCGGGUCGAAUUCGGCGAGAACAUCGUCCUAAAGCACUUCCUUCUUACAUGCGAAGUGGACCCGAGGAUGAGGGCCAAGGAGAACAUUAUCCUGUACUGGAAAAUGCUCAA